AUGCAAGUCGAGCGGGCGAGGUUGCUUCGGUAACUGAGCUAGCGGCGGACGGGUGAGUAAAGCUUAGGAAUCUGCCUAUUAGUGGGGGACAACAUUUCGAAAGGGAUGCUAAUACCGCAUACGUCCUACGGGAGAAAGCAGGGGAUCACUUGUGACCUUGCGCUAAUAGAUGAGCCUAAGUCGGAUUAGCUAGUUGGUGGGGUUAAGGCCUACCAAGGCGACGAUCUGUAGCGGGUCUGAGAGGAUGAUCCGCCACACUGGGACUGAGACACGGCCCAGACUCCUACGGGAGGCAGCAGUGGGGAAUAUUGGACAAUGGGGGGAACCCUGAUCCAGCCAUGCCGCGUGUGUGAAGAAGGCCUUUUGGUUGUAAAGCACUUUAAGUGGGGAGGAGGCUCUCUUGGUUAAUACCUAAGAAGAGUGGACGUUACCCACAGAAUAAGCACCGGCUAACUCUGUGCCAGCAGCCGCGGUAAUACAGAGGGUGCGAGCGUUAAUCGGAUUUACUGGGCGUAAAGCGCGCGUAGGUGGUUAAUUAAGUCAAAUGUGAAAUCCCCGAGCUUAACUUGGGAAUUGCAUUCGAUACUGGUUAGCUAGAGUA
Molecule: ribosomal RNA, 601 nt
Filed under: uncultured Gammaproteobacteria bacterium
Lineage: Bacteria; Pseudomonadati; Pseudomonadota; Gammaproteobacteria
Description: bacterial SSU rRNA
Rfam family: Bacterial small subunit ribosomal RNA
Source: RNAcentral